CCGCACUGCCUUUGACCCGGCGGAGCGCCCUCACACGGCGCCGUCGGCCAAGCAGCAGUGCCAGAGCGAAGCGCUUUGCUCUAACUGGUGCUGCGCGGCGGCCCCGCGCGGCGCUUUUAAAAGCAAGGCACAGCC
Molecule: small nucleolar RNA, 135 nt
Organism: Numida meleagris (helmeted guineafowl)
Lineage: Eukaryota; Metazoa; Chordata; Aves; Galliformes; Numididae
Source: Ensembl